This is a long non-coding RNA of Delphinapterus leucas (beluga whale), 542 nucleotides long. RefSeq lists it as uncharacterized. The record is from RefSeq and is a predicted model, not a curated record. NCBI's taxonomy places the organism in Eukaryota, Metazoa, Chordata, Mammalia, Artiodactyla, Monodontidae.
UCGGGGUCCUGAAUCUGUGAAAGUCUGAGCUAGACUUAAGUAAAAUACACUGAGGCCUGUGCCUGGGCAACUGUGUUCAGUAAAAGCUAACUCUAGUUAAAUUCACUUUAGAAUACUUUGUAACUGUUUCCUGCUAUGAAGGAGAUUUAAAUGCAGAUGUGGAAAGAAUUCCAAAAUAUAGAUGACAUUCCUUUGGAAGAGAGGCUUCCAAUUUUCAUUUUGUACCUUUCCAAACGGACUGAAUUUUCUAAUCUUCCCCGUGGGUUACUUAGUAUGUCAACAGCGGUUAUUAAGAUAUAUGCCCAGGAGUGGGAUUGCUGUAUCAUACAAAAAUGAACUCAAAAUGACUGAAAGACUUAAAUAUAAGACAUGAAACUAUAAAACUCCUAGAAGAGAACAUAGGCAAAAAAUGCUCUGACAUAAUCAUAACGUUUUCUUAGAUCAGUCUCUCAAGACAAAAGAAAUAAAAGCAAAAAUAAAUAAAUGGGGCUUACUCGAACUUAUAAGCUCUUGCACAGCAAAGGAAACCAUGAACAAAAUGA